AAUUUUGGACAAUGGGGGAAACCCUGAUCCAGCCAUCCCGCGCGUAUGAUGAAGGCCUUCGGGUUGUAAAGUACUUUUGGCGGAGAAGAAAAGGUAUGCCCUAAUACGGGAUACUGCUGACGGUAUAUGCAGAACAAGCACCGGCUAACUACGUGCCAGCACCCGCGGUAGUACGUAGGGUGGAAGCGUUAAUCUGAAUUACUGGGCGUAAAGAGUGGGUAGGCGGUUGGGAAAGAAAGAUGUGAGAUCCCAGGGCUGAACCUUGGAACUGCAUUUUUAACUGCCGAGCUAGAGUAUGUCAGAGGGGGGUAGAAGUCCACGUGUAGCAGUGGAAUGCGUAGGUAUGUGGAGGAAUACCGAUGGCGAAGGCAGCCCCCUGGGAUAAUACUGACGCUCAGACACGAAAGCGUGGGGAGCAAACAGG
Molecule: ribosomal RNA, 424 nt
Filed under: uncultured bacterium
Lineage: Bacteria
Description: partial 16S ribosomal RNA
Rfam family: Bacterial small subunit ribosomal RNA
Source: RNAcentral